This is a long non-coding RNA of Triticum aestivum (bread wheat), 817 nucleotides long. RefSeq lists it as uncharacterized. The record is from RefSeq and is a predicted model, not a curated record. NCBI's taxonomy places the organism in Eukaryota, Viridiplantae, Streptophyta, Magnoliopsida, Poales, Poaceae. The transcript has 4 exons.
CUCCAUCCUCCAUCCCCCAAUUCAAUCUUAUCCAUCUUCCUCUCCCUCGUUCGCCGCCACCACCGGCAACCUUGGUGCCCCUCUCCCUAACCGCCACCGCCCCCACCCUCUCCCCCGUCCCCCGCUCUCACCUUCUGUCCUUAAACUAGGCGUCCCCCAGAACGAGAAUGUUGAGGCGCUUCCUGAUUUGCGGCGGCUGCUUCCGAAUCCGCCGAGCAGCGCCAGAGGUCGGCUCCUUCUCCGCGUUGUUCUGCGCCAAGGUGAGGCACUCAAUACCGUGGCCGGAUGGAGGUUGGGCGAUUUCCUUCCCUGACCUCGCUGCCUAGCCACUCCACCGCGAGCUUCUCGCCCCCAGCGGCGUACAAGACGUCCUCCUCCUCGAUGCAGCCAUUCCCAAUGAGUUCUCUUUGCCGGAAGAGGUGCAGAAGCAAGUCCAGCACCCCCUUCGCCCCUGCAUCCUGUCCUACAUCGCCUGGACGAGCUCACUGAUGGUUGCGUCCUUACCUCCUAGCGUGAUAUUGGUUUAUGGGAUCAUUUUCAAUAACAAAGAUAUGACGAGCAGAUCCACGGCCAGGAAUGCGGGGUCCCUUGGUUGUACGACGAGCAUUGUGCGUUGCCUGAUGGGUGUGGUGCUGGCUGUAGAGUAGCAUAGUGUUCUCCGAGGCAUGCCUGUGGAAUUAAUCUUUUUUGGGUUCUUUUUUUGCUCCUGUACAGGUGUAUCUGGGGUGUGUUUAUGUAAUUUUUUGUUUUUAAGGACCUGAGCAUAUAUUUUCUUUUAAAUUAUUAUUGGCUUAAAAUUUCCAUGGACCAAGAGAAA